RNAcentral lists this ribosomal RNA (445 nucleotides) under uncultured bacterium. Its description in RNAcentral is "partial 16S ribosomal RNA". It matches the Rfam family "Bacterial small subunit ribosomal RNA", at positions 354 to 796 of the family's 1533-position model. The record is from RNAcentral.
GUGAGGAAUAUUGGACAAUGGGCGCAAGCCUGAUCCAGCCAUGCCGCGUGCAGGAAGACGCAUCUAUGGUGUGUAAACUGCUUUUGUACGGGAAGAAACACUCCCUCGUGAGGGAGCUUGACGGUACCGUAAGAUUAAGGAUCGGCUAACUCCGUGCCAGCAGCCGCGGUAAUACGGAGGAUCCAAGCGUUAUCCGGAAUCAUUGGGUUUAAAGGGUCCGUAGGCGGUUUAAUAAGUCAGUGGUGAAAGCCCAUCGCUCAACGAUGGAACGGCCAUUGAUACUGUUAGACUUGAAUUACAAGGAAGUAACUAGAAUAUGUAGUGUAGCGGUGAAAUGCUUAGAUAUUACAUGGAAUACCAAUUGCGAAGGCAGGUUACUACUUGUGGAUUGACGCUGAUGGACGAAAGCGUGGGGAGCGAACAGGAUUAGAAACCCUGGUAGUCC